AGGCACCAGCCAGGCAUUGCUCAGC
Molecule: microRNA, 25 nt
Filed under: Homo sapiens (human)
Lineage: Eukaryota; Metazoa; Chordata; Mammalia; Primates; Hominidae
Description: hsa-miR-593-5p
Gene: hsa-miR-593-5p
Source: miRBase by way of RNAcentral